Molecule: non-coding RNA, 63 nt
Organism: Rattus norvegicus (Norway rat)
Lineage: Eukaryota; Metazoa; Chordata; Mammalia; Rodentia; Muridae
Source: Rfam
GGGGAUUUAGUUCAGUGGUAGAGCGCUUGCCUAGCAAGUGCAAGGCCCUGGGUUCAGUCCCCA